CGACGUGGGCAACCUGCCCCAUAGAGGGGGACAACAGCUGGAAACGGCUGCUAAUACCGCAUAACAAGGAGAGAGCGCAUGUUCUUUUCUUCAAAGAUUUAUCGCUAUGGGAUGGACCCGCGUCUGAUUAGCUAGUUGGUGAGGCAACGGCUCACCAAGGCGACGAUCAGUAGCCGGCUUGAGAGAGUGAACGGCCACAUUGGGACUGAGACACGGCCCAGACUCCUACGGGAGGCAGCAG
Molecule: ribosomal RNA, 241 nt
Filed under: uncultured bacterium
Lineage: Bacteria
Description: partial 16S ribosomal RNA
Rfam family: Bacterial small subunit ribosomal RNA
Source: RNAcentral